This 840-nucleotide ribosomal RNA is filed under the name Neoroussoella chiangmaiensis. Its description in RNAcentral is "Neoroussoella sp. DPW-2022a partial large subunit ribosomal RNA". It matches the Rfam family "Eukaryotic large subunit ribosomal RNA", at positions 70 to 929 of the family's 3401-position model. Lineage: Eukaryota; Fungi; Ascomycota; Dothideomycetes; Pleosporales; Thyridariaceae. The record is from RNAcentral.
AGGGAUUGCCUCAGUAACGGCGAGUGAAGCGGCAACAGCUCAAAUUUGAAAUCUGGCCCUUUCAGGGUCCGAGUUGUAAUUUGCAGAGGGUGCUUUGGCGUCGGCCGUGGUCUAAGUUCCUUGGAACAGGACGUCACAGAGGGUGAGAAUCCCGUACGUGGCCGCCGGUCUUCGCCGUGUAAAGCCCCUUCGACGAGUCGAGUUGUUUGGGAAUGCAGCUCUAAAUGGGAGAUACAUUUCUUCUAAAGCUAAAUAUUGGCCAGAGACCGAUAGCGCACAAGUAGAGUGAUCGAAAGAUGAAAAGCACUUUGGAAAGAGAGUCAAAAAGCACGUGAAAUUGUUGAAAGGGAAGCGCUUGCAGCCAGACGUGCCCGCAGUUGCUCACCCAGGCUCUUGCCUGGGGCACUCUUCUGCGGGCAGGCCAGCAUCAGUUCGGGCGGUUGGAUAAAGGCCUCUAUCACGUACCACCUUUCGGGGUGUCCUUAUAGGGGAGGCGCAACACGGCCAGCCUGAACUGAGGACCGCGCAUCAGCUAGGAUGCUGGCGUAAUGGCUGUAAGCGGCCCGUCUUGAAACACGGACCAAGGAGUCUAACAUCUAUGCGAGUGUUUGGGUGUCAAGCCCGGGCGCGCAAUGAAAGUGAACGGAGGUGGGAACCUUUUGGGUGCACCAUCGACCGAUCCUGAAGUCUUCGGAUGGAUUUGAGUAAGAGCAUAGCUGUUGGGACCCGAAAGAUGGUGAACUAUGCCUGAAUAGGGUGAAGCCAGGGGAAACCCUGGUGGAGGCUCGCAGCGGUUCUGACGUGCAAAUCGAUCGUCAAAUUUGGGCAUAGGGGCGAAAG